Molecule: ribosomal RNA, 245 nt
Filed under: uncultured Holdemania sp.
Lineage: Bacteria; Bacillati; Bacillota; Erysipelotrichia; Erysipelotrichales; Erysipelotrichaceae
Description: partial 16S ribosomal RNA
Rfam family: Bacterial small subunit ribosomal RNA
Source: RNAcentral
UACGUAGGUGGCAAGCGUUAUCCGGAAUUAUUGGGCGUAAAGGGUGCGUAGGCGGCCUGUUAAGUUUAAGGUGAAAGCGUGGGGCUUAACCCCAUAAAGCCUUAGAUACUGGCAGGCUAGAGUACUGGAGAGGAAAGUGGAAUUCCAUGUGUAGCGGUAAAAUGCGUAGAUAUAUGGAGGAACACCGGUGGCGAAGGCGGCUUUCUAGACAGUAACUGACGCUGAGGCACGAAAGCGUGGGGAGC